This 355-nucleotide unclassified non-coding RNA is filed under the name soil metagenome. RNAcentral's name for it is "partial contains 5.8S ribosomal RNA, internal transcribed spacer 2, and large subunit ribosomal RNA". The stretch from base 1 to 120 matches the Rfam family "5.8S ribosomal RNA", at positions 35 to 154 of the family's 154-position model. The record is from RNAcentral.
GAUGAAGAACGCAGCGAAAUGCGAUAAGUAAUGUGAAUUGCAGAAUUCAGUGAAUCAUCGAAUCUUUGAACGCACAUUGCGCCCGCCAGUAUUCUGGCGGGCAUGCCUGUCCGAGUGUCAUUUCAACCCUCGAACCCCUCCGGGGGGUCGGCGUUGGGGAUCGGCCCUGCCUCUUGGCGGUGGCCGUCUCCGAAAUACAGUGGCGGUCUCGCCGCAGCCUCUCCUGCGCAGUAGUUUGCACACUCGCAUCGGGAGCGCGGCGCGUCCACAGCCGUUAAACACCCAACUUCUGAAAUGUUGACCUCGGAUCAGGUAGGAAUACCCGCUGAACUUAAGCAUAUCAAUAAGCGGAGGA